CCCCCCCAAAAGUGUCAGAGCACAGGGGAUAGUAGCUUUGUUUCCCUAUCUAGAAGACCCAUACUCACAACAUGGAUAUGAUCAUUACUACGAUCCGGAGAGUGGUUCCGGAUACCUUGCAUGGCGAUUGAAGACCAUACAAAGAAAAACAGCAGAGGAAAGAGGUGCCUCAGUCAGCAAAUCUCCUAAAGUUGGUGGGCCAGGCCGUGAUCGUCAGCCCUUCACCUAUGACAGAGAGCCAUCUGAUGAGGAUGUGGAAGCAGCUAUUGCUGUUUUGAGACACUCUGCUGAUGAAAACACUGUCCGUGAGAAGAUGAAAAUGACCUUCAUAUAUCGGCAAGCAAUGGUCAACGAUGAAGCCAAAUCAUCAGAUGUCUUCUCGGUCUUCCCAAGAUUUCUGGACACACCAGGACUGAUAGAACAAGAUUUCAGACUUCUGUUUGGUGAGGCCACAGCCAACAAAUUCUUGGAGAAGUGGCCAACCACUUUCAAAGCAAAAGUAAUAAAGGAAAGCCAUGGACUUGUAUCCACCACAGAACUCUUGGAUUUGAUGCGCAAUGCUGAGUCAGCUGCUGAAGUUGAGAAUGGCUGGGACAGUGACAUGUCUGCCAUCUUGCUGCUGCUACAUUUGCUACCACCAUCUGCACAAGGUAGAAAGAGGCCGGGAAAGAUGUCUGCAUAUCAAGCUGUAGAUCAGCUCAUCAGAUU
Coregonus clupeaformis (lake whitefish) is the source of this 708-nucleotide long non-coding RNA. RefSeq lists it as uncharacterized. NCBI's taxonomy places the organism in Eukaryota, Metazoa, Chordata, Actinopteri, Salmoniformes, Salmonidae. The transcript has 5 exons. The record is from RefSeq and is a predicted model, not a curated record.